CUGGAGACAGAGUCUGAGGAGAGCUGGACUUGGUUUUUGCAUAAUCUGUGCCGGGCUAUUGCACAUCCCAAUGGGUUGGUCAUUCAUACAGAUGCCUGCAAAGGUUUAGAAGUGGUCGUGGACAAUGUGUUCCCUGGAGUAGAGCAUAGGGAAUGCAUGCGUCACCUUGCUGCAAAUUUCAUGAAGAAAUUCAAAGGAAAGGUGUAUACUGACAAUUUAUGGCCAGCAUCUUUGACUUGCAGUGUGAAGAAGCACAACUACCACUUGAGGCAGUUAUACAUGGAUCCCAAAGUGAAAGAAUACCUGGAAACACACCACUCCCAGUUAUGGGCCAGAAGCCAAUUCGGUGAACUGAGCAAAGUUGACUAUGUGCACAAUAAUCUAGCAGAGUCUUUCAACUCAACGAUCCGGAAA
RNAcentral lists this ribosomal RNA (414 nucleotides) under Triticum aestivum (bread wheat). Its description in RNAcentral is "partial small subunit ribosomal RNA". Lineage: Eukaryota; Viridiplantae; Streptophyta; Magnoliopsida; Poales; Poaceae. The record is from RNAcentral.